This 497-nucleotide ribosomal RNA is filed under the name uncultured bacterium. RNAcentral's name for it is "partial 16S ribosomal RNA". It matches the Rfam family "Bacterial small subunit ribosomal RNA", at positions 28 to 507 of the family's 1533-position model. The record is from RNAcentral.
GAUGAACGCUGGCGGCGUGCCUAAUACAUGCAAGUCGAGCGAACGGACGAGAAGCUUGCUUUUCUGAUGUUAGCGGCGGACGGGUGAGUAACACGUGGAUAACCUACCUAUAAGACUGGGAUAACUUCGGGAAACCGGAGCUAAUACCGGAUAAUAUUUUGAACCGCAUGGUUCAAAAGUGAAAGACGGUCUUGCUGUCACUUAUAGAUGGAUCCGCGCUGCAUUAGCUAGUUGGUAAGGUAACGGCUUACCAAGGCAACGAUGCAUAGCCGACCUGAGAGGGUGAUCGGCCACACUGGAGCUGGGACACGGUCCAUGCUCCUACGGGAGGCAGCAGUAGGGAAUCUUCCGCAAUGGGCGAAAGCCUGACGGAGCAACGCCGCGUGAGUGAUGAAGGUCUUCGGAUCGUAAAACUCUGUUAUUAGGGAAGAACAUAUGUGUAAGUAACUGUGCACAUCUUGACGGUACCUAAUCAGAAAGCCACGGCUAACUACGUG